RNAcentral lists this unclassified non-coding RNA (517 nucleotides) under uncultured Glomeromycotina. Its description in RNAcentral is "SSU rRNA". It matches the Rfam family "Eukaryotic small subunit ribosomal RNA", at positions 574 to 1092 of the family's 1831-position model. The record is from RNAcentral. Lineage: Eukaryota; Fungi; Glomeromycota.
CCGCGGUAAUUCCAGCUCCAAUAGCGUAUAUUAAAGUUGUUGCAGUUAAAAAGCUCGUAGUUGAAUUUCGGGGUUAGUAGGUUGGUCAUGCCUCUGGUAUGUACUGGUCUCACUGAUUCCUCCUUCCUGAUGAACCUUAAUGCCAUUUAUUUGGUGUUUUUGGGAAUUUGGACUGUUACUUUGAAAAAAUUAGAGUGUUUAAAGCAAGCUAACGCUUGAAUACAUUAGCAUGGAAUAAUGAAAUAGGACGUUCGAUCCUAUUUUGUUGGUUUCUAGGAUUGACGUAAUGAUUAAUAGGGAUAGUUGGGGGCAUUAGUAUUCAAUUGUCAGAGGUGAAAUUCUUGGAUUUAUUGAAGACUAACUACUGCGAAAGCAUUUGCCAAGGAUGUUUUCAUUAAUCAAGAACGAAAGUUAGGGGAUCGAAGACGAUCAGAUACCGUCGUAGUCUUAACCAUAAACUAUGCCGACUAGGGAUCGGAUGAUGUUAAUUUUUUAAUGACUCAUUCGGCGCCUUACG